This 568-nucleotide ribosomal RNA is filed under the name uncultured bacterium. RNAcentral's name for it is "partial 16S ribosomal RNA". It matches the Rfam family "Bacterial small subunit ribosomal RNA", at positions 355 to 1375 of the family's 1533-position model. The record is from RNAcentral.
UGGGGAAUAUUGCACAAUGGGCGAAAGCCUGAUGCAGCGACGCCGCGUGAGGGAUGACGGCCUUCGGGUUGUAAACCUCUUUCAGCAGGGAAGAAGCGAAAGUGACGGUACCUGCAGAAGAAGCGCCGGCUAACUACGUGCCAGCAGCCGCGGUAAUACGUAGGGCGCAAGCGUUGUCCGGAAUUAUUGGGCGUAAAGAGCUCGUAGGCGGUUAGUCGCGUCUGCUGUGAAAACUCGAGGCUCAACCUCGGGCUUGCAGUGGGUACGGGCUGACUAGAGUGCGGUAGGGGCGACUGGAAUUCCUGGUGUAGCGGUGGAAUGCGCAGAUAUCAGGAGGAACACCGAUGGCGAAGGCAGGUCACUGGGCCGCAACUGACGCUGAGGAGCGAAAGCAUGGGGAGCGAACAGGAUUAGAUACCCUGGUAGUCCAUGCCGUAAACGUUGGGCACUAGGUGUGGGUCCAUUCCACGGAUUCCGUGCCGCAGCAAAGCGCAUUAAGUGCCCCGCCUGGGGAGUACGGCCGCAAGGCUAAAACUUAAAUGAAUUGACGGGGUCAUAGCUGUUUCCU